CGUGGGGGAUAACGCAGCGAAAGCUGUGCUAAUACCGCAUACGAUCUAUGGAUGAAAGCGGGGGACCGUAAGGCCUCGCGCGAUUGGAGCGGCCGAUGUCAGAUUAGGUAGUUGGUGGGGUAAAGGCCCACCAAGCCAACGAUCUGUAGCUGGUCUGAGAGGACGACCAGCCACACUGGGACUGAGACACGGCCCAGACUCCUACGGGAGGCAGCAGUGGGGAAUUUUGGACAAUGGGCGCAAGCCUGAUCCAGCAAUGCCGCGUGCAGGAUGAAGGCCUUCGGGUUGUAAACUGCUUUUCUACGGAGCGAAAAGGCUCUCUCUAAUACAGGGGGCUCAUGACGGUACGGUAAGAAU
This 357-nucleotide ribosomal RNA is filed under the name uncultured bacterium. RNAcentral describes it as "bacterial SSU rRNA". It matches the Rfam family "Bacterial small subunit ribosomal RNA", at positions 135 to 487 of the family's 1533-position model. The record is from RNAcentral.